Molecule: long non-coding RNA, 469 nt
Organism: Musca vetustissima
Lineage: Eukaryota; Metazoa; Arthropoda; Insecta; Diptera; Muscidae
Exons: 3
Source: RefSeq, a predicted model, not a curated record
ACGACGAGCACAGCCACCACAACCACCACCACAAUAUCGUUGGAUAAUAUCGUAAGGAUUGGUGAUGGCAAUAUUAUAACGCGGGAAGCUAUUCAACAAUCUUUAGUGACUGUCCAUGACAUUGCCACCGAAAACUUGGGCACACUCUGUAUCUCGACCCUCUAUCGUCCGCUGCAAGUGCCCAUUAAUUCAGAACGUUAUGAAAGUUCGAGACAAAAGGCUGAUUUAGUGGCAUCCAUACUGCAAGAGGUUGGCAUAAUCCGGCAUGGAGGUCUAUCGGAUGCCCUGGCCAAAGGUUUGCUAAGUGAUCAACACACAACUGGUGCUAGAAUUUUGGCCCUCAAUAUUACAAAUGGUUCCGUGCAGUCGUAUGUGUGGUGGAUCAAAAAGAAUCAUGACAAAAAUGGUGAACUGCAGCGGUUCGAAGAAGAAGGUCUACAAGUUGCCAAGAAGCCCUCAUCUAUGUAUC